ACGGGGUGCAGCAGGCGCGAACCUUCACAAUGGGGGAAACCCCGACGAGGGGAAUUCCAAGUGCCAUUGCAUUUGUGCAAGCUUUUCAUUAGUGUAAAGAACUUGGGAAAUAAGAGCUUGGCAAGACCGGGUGCCAGCCGCCGCGGUAACACCGGCAGCUCGAGUGGUAACAAUUUUUAUGAGCCUAAAGCGUCCGUAGCCGGUUUAAUAAGUCUUUGGUGAAAUCGGGAAGCGUAACUGUGGGAAUUCCGAGGAGACUGGCGAACUUGAGGUUGGGAGAGGCCAGAGGUACUUCCAGGGUAGAGGUAAAAUUCUGUAAUCCUGGGAGGACCACCGGUGGCGAAGGCGUCUAACUGGAACGAACCCGACGGUGAGGGACGAAACCUAGGGGCGCGAACGGGAUUAGAUACCCGGGUAGUCCAAGCUGUAAACGAUGCGGACUCGGUGUUGGGGGCCCUUUGAGGGGAUUCGGUGCCGGAGAGAGGUUGUUAAGUCCGCCACCUGGGGAGUACGGUCGCAAGGUUGAAACUCAAAGGAAUUGGCGGGGGAGCAC
This 553-nucleotide ribosomal RNA is filed under the name uncultured archaeon. RNAcentral describes it as "bacterial SSU rRNA". It matches the Rfam family "Archaeal small subunit ribosomal RNA", at positions 325 to 879 of the family's 1478-position model. The record is from RNAcentral.